GUGAAAAUGGCCCUCUGUUGUCCAGCUUGUGAAUUGGCCUGUUUGCCUUCGUCUCCAGAGAUUGCAAACACUAUCGCCGAUGUCAGUCGCUGCUAAAAAGGACGGAUAUGAAAGCGCUUUCAACCUGCCCCUUCGUGCUGUUCAGAUAAGACCUCGCCGUAAAGAGACAUGUGUCACCGAGAUUUAUUUCCUUCAUGCAGUCUGAACCACUCCUCUUUCUCGACUCCGCGGGCGGAGCAGUACGACAGAACGCCGGCAAGGCACAGCGGUGCGGAUUCCAUCUGUCGCGAACGGGUGAAGACCUCAUGCGUGAGCUUCACUGAACCGGUGGUUCGAGCCGUAUACAUGCGAAAUGGCCCUUCAUUACCGGUUGAAAUAAUUAGAUCGAGUCGCAAUCCUAAUGCAACAAUCCAACAAUCCUAGCCAAUCCUGUGACAAACGCCUGCGGUUUGUUGGUUAUCGCAAGUUUCUCCAUAUCAUUUGCAGCCGAAGGCUUGUCGAUUGAAGGGCUUAACUUCCGCCACGCCGAACUGUCGUCGCGCCAUCCGUAGGAGGUAAAAAUGAUGAUCCAUUUCUGUGAGAAGAACGGAGCUUGCGUAAUGUCUUCUCAUAAAUAUCUAUAUUUCUCAGCUAUAUCUGAAACUGCCGCGUGGGUUGUUUACAACACAUUGUCAUCUAGGCGAAACAUGUAGAGGCGACGGCCUAUAGCGGCGUUUUCUGAAAAUUAUAAAGCACCAACGUAUGUUACAAGCAUCGCGACUCGUAGCUCGAGCCAAUACAGUGUAACACUAAAAGGCAGCAGGCAUUUACACCACCGCCAGGAAUCGUCAAACGAUCCGGGUGCCAACUGCCACGCAGUGGCGCUCAAGUUCCGCCGAUACAUUUCUGAAAGCAAGUGCACUGCGCCACGCACUCGCUCGGUUUUCAAUUCGGAGAGAGGAGCACGCUGCAGGUGCGCGACACAUGUCCUCGGAAACCAGAGCCUGGCUCACGAGGCGUAAACAACAAAGAAGAAAUGCGAGAGCUGUAUCGAGUGUUGCUUUGGAGCGGCUGUUUUCGAAUGGCGGGCACAAGACGCUGAACGGUAUACGCACCGUCGAAGGCCCUCGAGGUGGGAUAUCACGGGCAGCAUGCAACCCGGUCAAAUUUACCAACGCUUCACACCGCCGUUCGCUUAGUGGCAUAUUGUGUGUGCGAACAGAAACUGACAGGUGCAAAAUACGCUGUGGCGGCAAAAACAGUUGCCGUGCUGUCCGCUCGGCUUCGCGAGGCUCUGCAAGCUAUAGGAGCCCGUUUCGGCAUCGAUAUUAAGAAGACACCGUGCAGCCAGCCCCUUGCGGUUACUACGACGUAAUAUUCGAGCCUUAUACGGCUUCGGAGUGCCCGAGCAGCUGUGGCUUCUCUCGGUGCUGCCACUGCAGCCCACACAUGCACGGUAGACUCUGUUUCGAUGCCGCAGACACUUGUCCUCGACAGCCAAACCUUCACGCUGUUUGACAUGCAAGCACAAUGGCGAAGCGUCCGGCGAAAACAUCUAUCUUUGCAAUAAACAAGAAUGUCGUGUCACGUCUGCUACCGGCUUCAUCCGCUUGCAGGUAUAUAGGGGCAUCUAUAGCGGCAUAUAUCGAUCAGAGUGCAUGGCUAUAUUAACUGCACCAACAAGCGGAUAACAGGUUAGAACAAGACCAGGAGUAGAAUUCACAAAGUUUCGUUCUUAAGUGCUCUUUGCCAUUGGCCUGUCACCUUCGCUAGCUACAAAUAUACUGACAACAUCACGAUUCGCUGGAAUCUGCUCUUACGAUCGAACUUCUAUAGCGUAAUAAUUAACUUUUUUUUUUUUUUUUUUUUUGUCGGAGGGAAGACACGUGCACGCACUAUGGAAGGAAUCCCGUCGAGUAAACUUCGGUAUCGCAACGAAACUUCGCCAUAUUGUUGCUGCCCUGUCUGAACAUCGAACAACGUUGGACUCGCUGCACCUCACUGACUCAGCUUCAAGCGGCCACCUUGAGUCUCGCGCUCGUCAAGUACGCUUGUGCUUCACAUGGACGGAUGAUCCACCGCGUAGUGACCGUGCAGUCAUGUCCCACACAGCUCGCCAGUGACAAAUGAUUAUACCCGAAAUGUGUUUCAUUAUUUUUUUUUCUUCACAGCAGCUCGGAGAUCGCCGUUAAAUCGUGUGUAAUAAAGAUAUACCUCAAACCUUCA
Molecule: long non-coding RNA, 2205 nt
Organism: Dermacentor silvarum
Lineage: Eukaryota; Metazoa; Arthropoda; Arachnida; Ixodida; Ixodidae
Exons: 2
Source: RefSeq, a predicted model, not a curated record